UAGCCGCACCCCAAGUGGUAGUCAUUGUUAUUGGGCUUAAAGUGUUCGUAGCCGGACGCGUAAGUCCGCUGUGAAAUCCAUGCGCUUAACGUAUGGACAUGCAGCGGAUACUGCGUGUCUAGGAACCGGACGGCGUCGAGGCUAUUCCCGGGGUAGGGGUGAAAUCCUAAAAUCCCGGGAGGAGCACCUGUGGCGGAAGCGCUCGACGAGUACGGAUUCGACGGUGAGGAACGAAAGCCAGUGGAGCAAA
Molecule: ribosomal RNA, 250 nt
Filed under: uncultured Nanohalarchaeota archaeon
Lineage: Archaea; Nanobdellati; Candidatus Nanohalarchaeota
Description: uncultured Nanohaloarchaeota archaeon partial 16S ribosomal RNA
Rfam family: Archaeal small subunit ribosomal RNA
Source: RNAcentral